This 361-nucleotide ribosomal RNA is filed under the name uncultured Planctomycetota bacterium. Its description in RNAcentral is "bacterial SSU rRNA". It matches the Rfam family "Bacterial small subunit ribosomal RNA", at positions 12 to 393 of the family's 1533-position model. Lineage: Bacteria; Pseudomonadati; Planctomycetota. The record is from RNAcentral.
UUUGAUCCUGGCUCAGAAUGAACGUUGGCGGCGUGGAUUAGGCAUGCAAGUCGUACGCUCCAGGGGCAAUCUGGAGAGUGGCGUAAGGGAGAGUAAUCCAUAGUUAGCUACCCUCGGGACUGGGAUAGCGGCGGGAAACUGCCGGUAAUACCAGAUGAUGUCUUCGGACCAAACGUGUAAACCGGCCCGAGGAGGCGACUAUGUCCUAUCAGCUUGUUGGCGGGGUAACGGCCCACCAAGGCUAAGACGGGUAUGGGGCGUGAGAGCGUGCCCCCACUCACUGGGACUGAGACACUGCCCAGACACCUACGGGUGGCUGCAGUCGAGAAUCUUCGGCAAUGGGCGCAAGCCUGACCGAGCG